This is a non-coding RNA of Cinara cedri, 272 nucleotides long. NCBI's taxonomy places the organism in Eukaryota, Metazoa, Arthropoda, Insecta, Hemiptera, Aphididae. The record is from the annotation of a GenBank genome assembly.
AACCGCCAACGGUCGCCUCUACCGGUACGGUACGGCCGUUCGAGAUGUCAUAGUGAAACGUGGGCGAUUAUUAUCACGGUUUAUUGUUUCCGUGGCUUACGAUUGCGGAUAUUACUAUCGUGUGGUAUAAAUGUGAUUAUGAUGUCAACAAAUUGAUACAAUCGACAUCAAAAUUUAUAAUUUCUCGAUUUUUUUUCAAUUUUGCUCUAUACUCUAAUCUAAUAUUCGUAUAUUAAAAUGUAAAGUGGGUGUUCGAGCGAGCCGAGCGAUCG